This 371-nucleotide ribosomal RNA is filed under the name uncultured bacterium. Its description in RNAcentral is "bacterial SSU rRNA". It matches the Rfam family "Bacterial small subunit ribosomal RNA", at positions 524 to 898 of the family's 1533-position model. The record is from RNAcentral.
UACGGAGGGUGCAAGCGUUAUCCGGAUUUACUGGGUUUAAAGGGUGCGUAGGCGGCUUCUUAAGUCAGUGGUGAAAUCCUAGUGCUUAACACUAGAACGGCCAUUGAUACUGGGAGGCUUGAGUCAAGGAGAGGUAAGCAGAAUUUAUGGUGUAGCAGUGAAAUGCUUAGAUACCAUAAGGAAUACCAAUAGCGAAGGCAGCUUACUGGCCUUGUACUGACGCUGAGGCACGAAAGCGUGGGGAGCAAACAGGAUUAGAGACCCUGGUAGUCCACGCUGUAAACGAUGAUCACUCGACAUACAUGCUAGUCAUGUGUAUCCAAGCGAAAGCAUUAAGUGAUCCACCUGGGGAGUACGCUCGCAAGAGUGAA